AACGCAUAUUGCGCUCUCUGGUAUUCCGGAGAGCAUGCUUGUUUGAGUAUCAGUAAACACCUCAACUUCCAUAUCUUUUUUGAAAUGGGAGUUGGACUUGAGUGAUCCCAACGCUUUUCCUUACCGAAAAGUGGCGGGUUACUUGAAAUGCAGGUGCAGCUGGACUUUUAUCUGAGCUAAAAGCAUAUCUAUUUAGUCCUCGUCAAACAGGAUUAUUACUUUUGCUGCAGCUAACAUAAAGGAUAAUCGUCCUCUUUGCUGACUGAUGCAGGAUUUUACGACACUUUAUGUGUUGUUCAACUCGAUCUCAAAUCAAGUAAGACUACCCGCUGAACUUAA
RNAcentral lists this unclassified non-coding RNA (339 nucleotides) under uncultured Mortierella. Its description in RNAcentral is "sequence contains ITS2". The stretch from base 1 to 52 matches the Rfam family "5.8S ribosomal RNA", at positions 103 to 154 of the family's 154-position model. The record is from RNAcentral. Lineage: Eukaryota; Fungi; Mortierellomycota; Mortierellomycetes; Mortierellales; Mortierellaceae.